GUGUCAGCAGCCGCGGUAAGACGAACCGAGCGAACGUUGUUCGGAAUCACUGGGCUUAAAGGGCGCGUAGGCGGGUUCUCAAGUCCGGGGUGAAAUCCCACAGCUCAACUGUGGAACUGCCUCGGAUACUGGGAGUCUCGAGGGUGGCAGGGGUAUGCGGAACUAUCGGUGGAGCGGUGAAAUGCGUUGAUAUCGAUAGGAACUCCGGUGGCGAAGGCGGCAUACUGGUCCACUUCUGACGCUGAGGCGCGAAAGCCAGGGGAGCAAACGGGAUUAGAUACCCCGGUAGUCCUGGCCCUAAACGAUGGGUACUAGCUAGUAGGCUUCACAUGGGUUUACUGGCGAAGCAAAAGUGCUAAGUACCCCGCCUGGGGAGUAUGGUCGCAAGGCUGAA
Molecule: ribosomal RNA, 394 nt
Filed under: uncultured bacterium
Lineage: Bacteria
Description: bacterial SSU rRNA
Rfam family: Bacterial small subunit ribosomal RNA
Source: RNAcentral